RNAcentral lists this ribosomal RNA (394 nucleotides) under uncultured bacterium. Its description in RNAcentral is "bacterial SSU rRNA". It matches the Rfam family "Bacterial small subunit ribosomal RNA", at positions 28 to 420 of the family's 1533-position model. The record is from RNAcentral.
GACGAACGCUGGCGGCGUGCUUAACACAUGCAAGUCGAACGAUGAAGCUAGAGCUUGCUCUGGGUGAAUUAGUGGCGAACGGGUGAGUAACACGUGAGUAACCUGCCCCGAACUCUGGGAUAACUGCUGGAAACGGUAGCUAAUACUGGAUACGACCUACGAAGGCAUCUUCUGUAGGUGGAAAGAAUUUCGGUUCGGGAUGGACUCGCGGCCUAUCAGCUUGUUGGUGAGGUAAUGGCUCACCAAGGCGACGACGGGUAGCCGGCCUGAGAGGUGACCGGCCACACUGGGACUGAGACACGGCCCAGACUCCUACGGGAGGCAGCAGUGGGGAAUAUUGCACAAUGGGCGCAAGCCUGAUGCAGCAACGCCGCGUGAGGGAUGACGGCCUCGG